This 253-nucleotide ribosomal RNA is filed under the name uncultured bacterium. Its description in RNAcentral is "partial 16S ribosomal RNA". It matches the Rfam family "Bacterial small subunit ribosomal RNA", at positions 524 to 776 of the family's 1533-position model. The record is from RNAcentral.
UACGAAGGGGGCUAGCGUUGCUCGGAAUCACUGGGCGUAAAGCGCACGUAGGCGGCUUUCUAAGUCAGGGGUGAAAUCCUGGAGCUCAACUCCAGAACUGCCUUUGAUACUGGAGAGCUUGAGUCCGGGAGAGGUGAGUGGAACUCCGAGUGUAGAGGUGAAAUCCGUAGAUAUUCGGAAGAACACCAGUGGCGAAGGCGGCUCACUGGCCCGGUACUGACGCUGAGGUGCGAAAGCGUGGGGAGCAAACAGG